This 469-nucleotide ribosomal RNA is filed under the name uncultured bacterium. RNAcentral's name for it is "partial 16S ribosomal RNA". It matches the Rfam family "Bacterial small subunit ribosomal RNA", at positions 28 to 507 of the family's 1533-position model. The record is from RNAcentral.
GAUGAACGCUGGCGGCGUGCUUAACACAUGCAAGUCGAACGGUGAACACGGAGCUUGCUCUGUGGGAUCAGUGGCGAACGGGUGAGUAACACGUGAGCAACCUGCCCCUGACUCUGGGAUAAGCGCUGGAAACGGCGUCUAAUACUGGAUAUGUGACGUGACCGCAUGGUCUGCGUUUGGUAAGAUUUUUCGGUUGGGGAUGGGCUCGCGGCCUAUCAGCUUGUUGUUGAGGUAAUGGCUCACCAAGGCGUCGACGGGUAGCCGGCCUUAGAGGGUGACCGGCCACACUGGGACUGAGACACGGCCCAGACUCCUACGGGAGGCAGCAGUGGGGAAUAUUGCACAAUGGGCGCAAGCCUGAUGCAGCAACGCCGCGUGAGGGAUGACGGCCUUCGGGUUGUAAACCUCUUUUAGCAGGGAAGAAGCGAAAGUGACGGUACCUGCAGAAAAAGCGCCGGCUAACUACGUG